This 495-nucleotide ribosomal RNA is filed under the name uncultured bacterium. Its description in RNAcentral is "partial 16S ribosomal RNA". It matches the Rfam family "Bacterial small subunit ribosomal RNA", at positions 29 to 506 of the family's 1533-position model. The record is from RNAcentral.
AUGAACGCUGGCGGCGUGCCUAAUACCUGCAAGUCGCGCGAACAGACGAGGAGCUUGCUCCUCUGACGUUAGCGGCGGACGGGUUAGUAACACGUGGAUAACCUACCUAUAAGACUGGGGUAACUUCGGGAAACCGGAGCUAAUACCGGAUAAUAUAUUGAACCGCAUGGUUCAAUAGUGAAAGACGGUUUUGCUGUCACUUAUAGAUGGAUCCGCGCCGCAUUAGCUAGUUGGUAAGGUAACGGCUUACCAAGGCAACGAUGCGUAGCCGACCUGAGAGGGUGAUCGGCCACACUGGAGCUGAGACACGGUCCAGACUCCUACGGGAGGCAGCAGUAGGGAAGCUUCCGCAGUGGGCGAAAGCCUGACGGAGCAACGCCGCGUGAGUGAUGAAGGUCUUCGGAUCGUAAAACUCUGUUAGUAGGGAAGAACAAAUGUGUAAGUAACUAUGCACGUCUUGACGGUACCUAAUCAGAAAGCCACGGCUAACUACGU